Molecule: ribosomal RNA, 874 nt
Filed under: uncultured archaeon
Lineage: Archaea
Description: bacterial SSU rRNA
Rfam family: Archaeal small subunit ribosomal RNA
Source: RNAcentral
GAUAUAUGCGAUCGUAUCAGCCAUGCAAGAGUAGGCGCGUCGAAAGAUUUUUCGCCGCGCACUGCUCAAAGCACGUAGUCACCUGCCAUUGAGACGGGACAACCUCGUGAAACUGACGCUAAUCCCUGAUAGUGAGUACGCUGGGAUGCGUCCUCGCGCAAAGCUAUGGCGCCCAAGGAUGGGACUGCGGUCUAUCAGAAUGUUGACGGUGUAACGGACCACCAAACAUACGAUCGUACGCAGAUGGGAGUCGGAGCCCGGAGAUGGGGACUGAGACAAGGCCCCAGGCCCUACGGGGCGCAGCAGGCGCGAAACAUCUGCAAUGUGCGCAAGCGUGUCGGGGGGAUCCCAAGCGCCGUUUGUAUUUUGAUCGACGGUUCUUAGGAAGUCUAAGAAGCUUCCAGAAUAAGGGGUGGGCAAGACUUGUGCCAGCCGCCGCGGUAACACCAGCAGCCCUAGUGGUCGCCCAGAUUCUUGGGCCUAAAGCGGUUGUUGCCGGAUCAUCAAGUCCCUGCUGACAUCGGGCCCCCGAACGGUUAGGCGUGCAAGGGAUACUUUUGGUCUUGAGGCCGGGAGAGGUCUGAGGUACUCCUGGGGUAGCGGUGAAAUGCUCUAAUCCUAGGGGGACCACCAGUGGCGAAGGGGUCAAACCAGAACUCACCUGCCGUUGAGCGGUGAAGGCUAGGGGAGCGAACGAGAUUAGAUACCCCGGUACUUCUAGCUGUAAAGCCCACGGGCCAGAAGUCUAGCGUUCCUCGAGGGCGCUAGGUGCCGGAGGGAAGCCGUUAAGCCCGCCGCCUGGGAAGUACGGCCGCAAGGCUGAGAAGUAAAGAAAUUGGCGGGGGAGCACCACAAGAGGUGGGACCUGCGGUUC